UACACAAAGCCACAUGUGCUGUCUUGGUUGUUUCUCCUGUGUAGCCGUUAUAUGACUGUGAAUUAAAAUGUUAGUGUAAUAGUGUUCAUACUACUUCAACAUAUAAAUAUGCCACGUAGAUGCUGUAUGCGUGCUUGUAGAGGCAAUUAUACUGCUCAGGAGAGAGUCAGUACAUUCCAUUUCCCUCGUGAUGAAGAUGCAAGGAGAGAAUGGAUAAGAGCAGUUCACCAUGAUAAUUUUACCCCUUCAGAUCACUAUGUGGUUUGUGAGCUGCACUUCCAUGCACACGAUAGAGAAAGAACUACAUCAGCAUAUGAGCUAAGACUGGAAGAUUAAUUACAACACCUCUUGACCGUCCACGUCUAAGGAAAGGUGCAAUAGCAGCACUAUUGCCAGGAUGUCCUGAUAAUUUAUCUACACUGUCAGCAUCAAGAGAACAUCCUGAAGAUCGAAGACAGCGUUUGGAAAAUGCUUUCGUCAGAUCUGCGCUGAAAGAAAGUUUGAUUACUCAUGAAGACCAUAAGAAGGCAAUAUCAUUCUCUUCGUUGAAGGAAUUAUGUGAUAAAAUUAAUCGUAGUGAUUUGAAUGAGUGGACCUGUGUCAGAAAGUUGAAUAGUGUGUAUUUUCUUUUAAUUAGUGAAGUGCCAUUUUAGAAAGUUUUGUGUUACGUUACAAUUAACGCAAAUCUCACUCUCACUCACUCUCACUGUCCAUGUCAAUGAUUUACAGCUUGGUCAAACAGGGAACAUAAAGUUUCCAGUAACUGU
Long non-coding RNA from Schistocerca serialis cubense, 767 nucleotides. RefSeq lists it as uncharacterized. The record is from RefSeq and is a predicted model, not a curated record. NCBI's taxonomy places the organism in Eukaryota, Metazoa, Arthropoda, Insecta, Orthoptera, Acrididae. The transcript has 3 exons.